This is a long non-coding RNA of Oncorhynchus tshawytscha (Chinook salmon), 1528 nucleotides long. The record is from Ensembl. Lineage: Eukaryota; Metazoa; Chordata; Actinopteri; Salmoniformes; Salmonidae.
UUUCAUAUCUCUCUCUCUCUCUCAUUAUUUUCAUGUCCCUCACUCUUUCCUCUCUCUCUCAUUAUUUUCAUGUCCCUCACUCUUUCCUCUCUCUCUCUCUCUCUCAUUAUUUUCAUAUCUCUCACUCUUUCCUCUCUCUCUCUCUCAUUAUUUUCAUGUCCCUCACUCUUUGGGUCCUUACAGCACUGUGUUGUCUUUCCUGUUCUCUUCUAGAACCUUCCCUUUGUUUCCCGUGAUGUCCUCCUCUAUCCAUCUUCAUUGGGUCAAUAAACACCCUGGAGGAAGAACCCUCUGACUCCUCCCCCUUGGUAUUACAUCAACAUGCAUAUCCUGGUUACAUAAUGUCCCUGCAUGGAAACGGUCACCUGGCAACAGUAGACCUGGAGCUGUGUUCUACUCCCUGAAACUGAAGACAAUGAUCUCCUGGAUGUUUUAAACCCUUGAGAGGCUACUGGUGCUGGACUACGGAGGAGGGAAGAUGGUGACACACCGUGAUAUAGGACAUUAGUGCUGUUACAGUUCAUUUAUGACGGAUUAUAUACAGAUAUAUUUCUCAAUGUUCAGUGUUUGAGGGACAGUGUUUUGUAGGCGUGUAGGAAUGAUGUUUUUAAUGUUGUUUGUCCCCUUUAAAUAUGAGAGAAUAUUUUUGCCUUAUUUCCAUAUCCCCCGCCUGAGGGAGGCUAGAUGUGAUGAGGAUUCUUGAGAAAAGCUUUCUUGUAGAGUUUUCUUGUCUUAGAAAAAUUCCAUGAACUUUAUAGAUUAGUAUAUCCUUCUUCUUUUUUUUUAUCAGUGUAAAUAAACUUCUUUUUUUUAUUAAAUACCUUUUUGUUUAUACUAAACCUGAUAUUGAGUAAUUUGUCAAAUUCUGUUGCUGUGUGCAUGUUUUACUGUAGUGCCAUUUCCAGUAAAUGUGUGAGAUAUUGUAUUUCUUUGUAUUGUGUAUUGCCUGUACUGGGAUUAGAAGGCAACACUCACUCUACGACACAAUAUUAAUAUAUAUUAAAUUAAAUUAAAUAUUAAAAUAUAAUGCACCAGAUGUGUAUUUUUGAACAAGAUUUUUAACUGCACCUGUUGACUAAGCGACGACAACAAACGGCAAUCACAGUCUGUCUCCACAAACAUACUAAGUUAUGAGAAAAACAUGGGCAGUACAGUACUGUGUUAUCCAGAAUACAGUGUGUUUUUCAUGGGCAGUACAGUACUGUGUUAUCCAGAAUACCUUGUGUUUUUCAUGGGCAGUACAGUACUGUGUUAUCCAGAAUACCUUGUGUUUUUCAUGGGCAGUACAGUACUGUGUUAUCCAGAAUACCUUGUGUUUUUCAUGGGCAGUACAGUACUGUGUUAUCCAGAAUACCUUGUGUUUUUCAUGGGCAGUACAGUACUGUUAUCCAGUAUACAGUAUGUUUUCAUGGGCAGUACAGUACUGUGUUAUCCAGAAUACAGUGUGUUUUUCAUGGGCAGUACAGUACUGUGUUAUCCAGAAUACAGUGUGUUUUUCAUGGGCAGUACAGUACUGUGUUAUCCAGAA